UACAGAGGUCCCAAGCGUUGUUCGGAUUCACUGGGCGUAAAGGGUGCGUAGGUGGUCGGGUAAGUCUGGUGUGAAAUCUCCGAGCCUAACUCGGAAACUGCAUUAGAUACUAUUCGGCUAGAGGGUUGGAGGGGGGACUGGAAUACUUGGUGUAGCAGUGAAAUGCGUAGAUAUCAAGUGGAACACCAGUGGCGAAGGCGAGUCCCUGGACAACUCCUGACACUGAGGCACGAAAGCUAGGGGAGCAAACAGG
This 253-nucleotide ribosomal RNA is filed under the name uncultured bacterium. RNAcentral describes it as "partial 16S ribosomal RNA". It matches the Rfam family "Bacterial small subunit ribosomal RNA", at positions 524 to 776 of the family's 1533-position model. The record is from RNAcentral.